GAUCCUGGCUCAGGAUGAACGCUAGCGGCAGGCUUAACACAUGCAAGUCGAGGGGUAUUGGUUUUCGGACCAAGAGACCGGCGCACGGGUGCGUAACGCGUAUGCAAUCUACCUUUUGCAGAGGGAUAGCCCAGAGAAAUUUGGAUUAAUACCUCAUAGUAUAGUACUUUGGCAUCAAGGAACUAUUAAAGUCACAACGGCAAAAGAUGAGCAUGCGUCCCAUUAGCUAGUUGGUAAGGUAACGGCUUACCAAGGCUACGAUGGGUAGGGGUCCUGAGAGGGAGAUCCCCCACACUGGUACUGAGACACGGACCAGACUCCUACGGGAGGCAGCAGUGAGGAGUAUUGGGCAAUGGGCGCAAGCCUGAUCCAGCCAUGCCGCGUGCAGGAUGACGGUCCUAUGGAUUGUAAACUGCUUUAUACAGGAAGAAACACUCCGACGUGUCGGAGCUUGACGGUACUGUAAGAAUAAGGAUCGGCUAACUCCGUG
Molecule: ribosomal RNA, 490 nt
Filed under: uncultured bacterium
Lineage: Bacteria
Description: bacterial SSU rRNA
Rfam family: Bacterial small subunit ribosomal RNA
Source: RNAcentral